Branchiostoma belcheri (Belcher's lancelet) is the source of this 398-nucleotide long non-coding RNA. RefSeq lists it as uncharacterized. The record is from RefSeq and is a predicted model, not a curated record. Lineage: Eukaryota; Metazoa; Chordata; Leptocardii; Amphioxiformes; Branchiostomatidae. The transcript has 4 exons.
AAUCGCGGCCUAGUACAGCGAUCUUGGGUCCGUAUUGGAGAACUCACACAGUCGGACGGUGGACACAACCUGCCGCCCGUCUACCACAAAACUUGACUUUGUCCAAUCGCGGCCUAGUACAGCGAUCUUGGGUCCGUAUUGGAGAACUCACACAGUCGGACGGUGGACACAACCUGCCGCCCGUCUACCACAAAACUUGACUUUGUCCAAUCGCGGCCUAGUACAGCGAUCUUGGGUCCGUAUUGGAGAACUCACACAGUCGGACGGUGGACACAACCUGCCGCCCGUCUACCACAAAACUUGACUUUGUCCAAUCGCGGCCUAGUACAGCGAUCUUGGGUCCGUAUUGGAGAACUCACACAGUCGGACGGUGGACACAACCUGCCACCCGUCUACCA